GUGCAGCAGUCGCGAAAACUCCGCAAUACGCGAAAGCGUGACGGGGCUACCCCGAGUGUCGUCCGCUGAGGACGACUUUUCCACGCUGUAAGGAGGCGUGGGAAUAAGGAGAGGGCAAGUCUGGUGUCAGCCGCCGCGGUAAUACCAGCUCUCCGAGUGGUAGGGACGAUUAUUGGGCUUAAAGCGUUCGUAGCCGGCUCAGCAAGUCUCCCGUUAAAUCCAACGAUUCAAUCGUUGGACUGCGGGAAUUCCAGAAAUACUGCAGAGCUAGGGACCGGGAGACGCAGAAGGUACUCCUGGGGUAGCGGUGAAAUCCUAUAAUCCUAGGGGGACCACCAGUGGCGAAGGCGUUCUGCGAGAACGGGCUCGACGGUGAGGGACGAAAGCCAGGGGCGCAAACGGGAUUAGAUACCCCCGUAGUCC
RNAcentral lists this ribosomal RNA (423 nucleotides) under uncultured archaeon. RNAcentral's name for it is "partial 16S ribosomal RNA". It matches the Rfam family "Archaeal small subunit ribosomal RNA", at positions 330 to 747 of the family's 1478-position model. The record is from RNAcentral.